UAGCCGAUUCCUUGCCCGCCGGA
This 23-nucleotide non-coding RNA is filed under the name Arabidopsis thaliana (thale cress). The record is from RNAcentral. Lineage: Eukaryota; Viridiplantae; Streptophyta; Magnoliopsida; Brassicales; Brassicaceae.